GCCCGGGUGGCGGAAUUGGCAGACGCGCUAGCUUGAGGUGCUAGUGGGGCAUUAACUCCCCGUGCUGGUUCGAAUCCAGUUCCGGGCA
RNAcentral lists this transfer RNA (88 nucleotides) under Planctomycetaceae bacterium. RNAcentral's name for it is "tRNA-Leu". It matches the Rfam family "tRNA". Rfam says of the family: Transfer RNA (tRNA) molecules are approximately 80 nucleotides in length. Their secondary structure includes four short double-helical elements and three loops (D, anti-codon, and T loops). Further hydrogen bonds mediate the characteristic L-shaped molecular structure. tRNAs have two regions of fundamental functional importance: the anti-codon, which is responsible for specific mRNA codon recognition, and the 3' end, to which the tRNAs corresponding amino acid is attached (by aminoacyl-tRNA synthetases). tRNAs cope with the degeneracy of the genetic code in two manners: having more than one tRNA (with a specific anti-codon) for a particular amino acid; and 'wobble' base-pairing, i.e. permitting non-standard base-pairing at the 3rd anti-codon position. The record is from RNAcentral. Lineage: Bacteria; Pseudomonadati; Planctomycetota; Planctomycetia; Planctomycetales; Planctomycetaceae.